RNAcentral lists this ribosomal RNA (747 nucleotides) under Triticum aestivum (bread wheat). RNAcentral describes it as "partial small subunit ribosomal RNA". The record is from RNAcentral. Lineage: Eukaryota; Viridiplantae; Streptophyta; Magnoliopsida; Poales; Poaceae.
AUGCUGCUCCAGCCGAUGAACGACCCGCGACAAGCCGUCGUCCCGGCCGUUCAUCCAGUCUCUUGGGUCAUGGGCGCCCGGCGAGAAAACCUGGGGCUAAAAUGCGCGGAUCCCUACGAGCCCAACGUCGGCGCGGACCUCCGGGCCAAGGAGAGGGACCCCAUGGAGCACCCCGACGCCGACUACAUGUCCAAGAUGCAGCAGGGCCACCUGAGCCCGUCCAUGCGCGCCGAGCUCGUGCUCUGGAUGGACGCUUUCGCCCGCCACCUCGGCGGCCUCCCGGAGGGCACGCUCUGCCGCGCCGUCGCCUACCUCGACCGCGUCCUGUCCGUGCGCCCCGUGCCGGCCCACGACGAGGCGCUCCAGCUCGUGGCUGCCGCCGCCGUCUCCCUCGGGGCCAAGCACGAGCAGUUCGCCAGCGGGCGGAGGCUCAACGCCGAAGUCGUCCAGGCGUUCCUGGGGACCACCGUGCACGUGGUGGAGGAGAUGGAGUGGGAGCUCUUCAUGGAUCUCGGCUGCGCCAUGGACGGCCCGACCGCGUACACCUUCGUCGAACACUUCACGAGGUUCUUCGGGCGAGAAGAUGAGUUUUUGGUGAGGUCCCUGGCGCUUCGUCUGGUCAACUUGACGUUGGGGUUUUUCGGGUUCGUUGGGCGGAUCCUGCCGUCUGCCGUGGCUGCAUCGGCGCUGUUCCUCGCCAGGCAGAUCCUCGGCGUGCAGUUGCGCCAUAGAGAAGCUGCUUCCUAG